GUGUCAGCAGCCGCGGUAAUACGUAGGGUGCGAGCGUUAAUCGGAAUUACUGGGCGUAAAGCGUGCGCAGGCGGUUCUGCAAGUCAGAUGUGAAAUCCCCGGGCUUAACCUGGGAACUGCGUUUGAAACUACGGAGCUAGAGUGCGGCAGAGGGGGGUGGAAUUCCACGUGUAGCAGUGAAAUGCGUAGAUAUGUGGAGGAACACCGAUGGCGAAGGCAGCCCCCUGGGCCGACACUGACGCUCAGGCACGAAAGCGUGGGGAGCAAACAGGAUUAGAUACCCUGGUAGUCCACGCCCUAAACUAUGUCAACUAGUUGUCGGGGAAGCAAUUCCUUGGUAACGAAGCUAACGCGUGAAGUUGACCGCCUGGGGAGUACGGUCGCAAGAUUAAA
This 393-nucleotide ribosomal RNA is filed under the name uncultured bacterium. Its description in RNAcentral is "bacterial SSU rRNA". It matches the Rfam family "Bacterial small subunit ribosomal RNA", at positions 505 to 898 of the family's 1533-position model. The record is from RNAcentral.